UUUGAGUCAUUAUUCAUUAUAAAUAAGUGGCACUAAUAAAGAUCAAGUAACAUAAGUAAAAAAAGCUUAAUUCA
Molecule: transfer RNA, 74 nt
Filed under: Dysosma pleiantha
Lineage: Eukaryota; Viridiplantae; Streptophyta; Magnoliopsida; Ranunculales; Berberidaceae
Description: tRNA-Pro
Source: RNAcentral